Long non-coding RNA from Columba livia (rock pigeon), 2112 nucleotides. RefSeq lists it as uncharacterized. Lineage: Eukaryota; Metazoa; Chordata; Aves; Columbiformes; Columbidae. The transcript has 3 exons. The record is from RefSeq and is a predicted model, not a curated record.
GGAGAGGAAGAACAGAAAGAAAUGAUAUCUCUUUACGCCCAGCUUUAAGAAAUGCCUUAGGCCUCUCUUGAAGUUACCUAGCCUUAUGUAGAACUGCUGUAGAUUUAACAGUGGUGGGUAAAAAGGCCCCUAUUUUGUCACAUGGGAGAGGAUGUUAUACACUGAAGAGCCAGCUUUAGGCUGAAAACUGUGUAUUAUACAAACAGAGAAACUCUGAAGUAAAAUCCGUUGCAUUCUCAGUAAGCCAGUCUGUUCUUACUCCUACCAGGUGUUAACAUUUAGCCUUGAAAUGUGUCUGAGUGGCUCACAGUAUUAUUGCUGUAAUUUGCACAUUUAAUUCUGAAAGAAUUAUUAAUUGCAAAUUUCUCUCUCUCUAGGGCUGUCACUCCUGUCCUUCCAUGUAAUGAAUAUAGAGUAUUGAUAUAGCUUCAACUUUCCCUGCAUCUGGGAGAUUUCAAUAGGAUAUCCUGAACAACCCAGAGGAUGCUGAGGAGUAAUGGAUCCUUGAGAAGAGAAGCAGAAUUCUCAGGAACAGGAAUUCCCUAUGGAGAACACAGGGCAGAGUCUGCAGUGCUGCCACUUGCCUCACAGACAGCUUGAUAGACCUAAAAAUGGCAAAACUCAUUUGAAGGAUGGAUGUAGUCAGCCACCUACAGAUAAAUAAGAGUAUAAAACCCAGCCAAAAACAAGCCCAAAACUGUGUAUGUAGUUAGGUCCUUGACAUAUCAUCUUAAUACAUUAUGUGUCUUUGUAUGAAAAAUAGAUUGCUUCUUACAUUUUAACAAAGAAUCAAGGAAAGUAUCAUUUUUCCUCGAGGUAUUAAAAGCAGGGUCUAAUUAGUUAUUAGCUGUGGAUAUUUUAUACUCUCAUUUUUGGUCCCUUUUCCGGUGAUGGAUAGAUCUGGAUAUUUCCCAACCUGUAACAGGUUUCUGAAUGGUAUAUACAGUCAAUUUAAACCACUGGGUGGCUCUUGCACCUCACUCACCUAUUAUUUCUGUGAGUUUGGCAUAGUUGUUCCUCUGACAGAACUAUAAACUUUAAUAAGGCAGAGGAUAGCUAUUGCCGAAAUGGGAGUAUAAAGGAUUUUCUACAGUCUGUUUAUGACUUACCAGAUGAAAAUCCAAAGUUCAUCAAAUUUCAAGCAUAGGUUUUCUGUUCAUGCACAUCUUUGCAUAAAUCAUUUGUUCUUAUGAACACUACAGAAGCAGACUGAGUUUAGGGUACAACUAUAAUCAAAUUUCUCUCUGUUCUGUCUAAUCUGCUCUAGAAAACAAAAAACAAAACAAAACAAAACAAAACAAAACAAAACAAACAGUGGGCUCAAGAAGAAACAGAAAGUAACAGUCCUCCAUGCUGAUGAAUCAAAAUGUUCAACAUAGGUGAUGUAAAGGGCUUUCCUAAGGAUAAAAGAAGUCUUUACAAGAUAAUCUGAGAAUUCUAUAAGAUGUGUUGCUGGCAAGGACACCUGCUAAGAAGACUUUUCACUCCUUCCCAGCCUGGUACCACCGCGGGCGUUACUCUCCCCCAGUCUGACCAGCACUGCAUCUGGACUCAUCUGCAGAGAAGGAAGCAGUGUAACCUGUAGACAGUGAGAAGCUAUCUGCUGAAUGUUGUUUACCUUAGGCUAGAUAGACGCUCAUCAAAUGGAGUGAAAAGAGGAUGCCCAGCUGUACCUUGGACUUAAUCCUGUGUUAGGAGACAGACUGCCUUAGCUCACUGAAUUACUGGGUAUACUGCUGCUUAUAGAACUUGGUUAGAAACUUCUCAUAUAGAAUCUGCUUAGCUUAAGUAAGUUUGCUUAACAUAACUUCUGCCAACUGUGGACCACUUAACUUUCUCCUUUAUUAAGUAAAAAAGACCUCAGAAUCUCCAAGCUAGAAGAUAAGGGGAGCUGCAACCCUGGAGAUAAGUAAAGGAACAGAAUGGCACCUAACAAAGGAUGAGAAACAGAAGAAUGUUUUGUCUAUUGCCAAGAACUUAUUCUUCUCCAGCUGCAAGCACAAAAUAGCAACUGAAGAUCAGGACUUUGAUUGACAGCCUGCCUGAUGAAAAUGAAGAGAUUCAAUGAAGAACAAAGAGACCCCAGACUCUGAUUUUGCAAUUGGCCCAGAA